GAUGGGAUCGACUGCAAGUCGAAGAGGUUAGUCUGGUAGCAAUACUGGGCUGACCUAGUGGCGAACGGGUGCGUAACACGUGACCAACCUGCCUGAAAGUGGGGGAUAGCUCGGCGAAAGCCGGAUUAAUACCGCAUGUGAUCGCAAGAUUAAAGCAGCAAUGCGCUUUUAGAGGGGGUCGCGGCCUAUCAGCUAGUUGGUGAGGUAAAGGCUUACCAAGGCAGCGACGGGUAGCUGGUCUGAGAGGACGACCAGCCACACUGGAACUGAGACACGGUCCAGACACCUACGGGUGGCAGCAGUCGAGAAUUUUUCUCAAUGGGGGAAACCCUGAAGGAGCGACGCCGCGUGGAGGAUGAAGGCUUUCGGGUUGUAAACUCCUGUCAUCUGGGAACAAAACUCGCAAGAGCUUGAUAGUACCAGAAGAGGAAGAGACGGCUAACUCUGUGCCAGCAGCCGCGGUAAUACAGAGGUCUCAAGCGUUGUUCGGAUUCAUUGGGCGUAAAGGGCGCGUAGGCGGUGGGGUAAGUCUGGUGUGAAAUCUCGGAGCUCAACUUCGAAAUUGCACUGGAUACUGCUCUGCUAGAGGGCUGGAGAGGAGAUCGGAAUUCACGGUGUAACAGUGAAAUGCGUAGAUAUCGUGAGGAAAACCAGUGGCGAAGGCGGAUCUCUGGACAGCUCCUGACGCUGAAGCGCGAAAGCUAAGGGAGCAAACGGGGAUAGAUACCCCGGGUAGUCCUAGCAGUAAACGGUGCACGUUUGGUGUGCGCGGAAUCGAACCCCGUGCGUGGCCGAACCAAACCGUUAAACGGGCCGCCUGAAGAAUAACGUCUCCAAAAUUAAAACUUCAAAAAAUUGACGGGGGGCCCCCACAAACGGUGGAAAAAGGUGGCU
RNAcentral lists this ribosomal RNA (894 nucleotides) under Verrucomicrobia bacterium enrichment culture clone CTBE CDB1001F01. RNAcentral describes it as "bacterial SSU rRNA". It matches the Rfam family "Bacterial small subunit ribosomal RNA", at positions 44 to 946 of the family's 1533-position model. The record is from RNAcentral. Lineage: Bacteria; Pseudomonadati; Verrucomicrobiota.